UACAGAGGUCUCAAGCGUUGUUCGGAUUCAUUGGGCGGAAAGGGUGCGUAGGCGGCGCGGUAAGUCGGGUGUGAAAUCUCGGAGCUUAACUUCGAAACUGCAUUCGAUACUGCCGUGCUUGAGGACUGGAGAGGAGACUGGAAUUUACGGUGUAGCGGUGAAAUGCGUAGAUAUUCGCAAGAACACCAGUGGCGAAGGCGGCUCACUGGCCCGAUACUGACGCUGAGGCACGAAAGCGUGGGGAGCAAACAGG
RNAcentral lists this ribosomal RNA (253 nucleotides) under uncultured bacterium. RNAcentral describes it as "partial 16S ribosomal RNA". It matches the Rfam family "Bacterial small subunit ribosomal RNA", at positions 524 to 776 of the family's 1533-position model. The record is from RNAcentral.